This 1136-nucleotide ribosomal RNA is filed under the name uncultured bacterium. RNAcentral's name for it is "bacterial SSU rRNA". It matches the Rfam family "Bacterial small subunit ribosomal RNA", at positions 1 to 1151 of the family's 1533-position model. The record is from RNAcentral.
CAGAUAGAGUUUGAUCCUGGCUCAGGACGAACGCUGGCGGCGUGCCUAACACAUGCAAGUCGAGCGGAGAAUGCAAGAUGUUUACAUUAAGUAUUCUUAGCGGCGGACGGGUGAGUAACACGUGGGUAACCUGCCUCAGAGUGGGGGAUAGCCUUUCGAAAGGAAGAUUAAUACCGCAUAAGCUUGUAGCAUUGCAUGGUGCAGCAAGAAAAGGAGCAAUCCGCUCUGAGAUGGACCCGCGGCGCAUUAGCUAGUUGGUGAGGUAACGGCUCACCAAGGCCACGAUGCGUAGCCGACCUGAGAGGGUGAUCGGCCACAUUGGAACUGAGACACGGUCCAGACUCCUACGGGAGGCAGCAGUGGGGAAUAUUGCACAAUGGGCGAAAGCCUGAUGCAGCAACGCCGCGUGAGUGAUGAAGGCCUUCGGGUCGUAAAGCUCUUUGAUCAGGGAUGAUAAUGACAGUACCUGAAAAACAAGCCACGGCUAACUACGUGCCAGCAGCCGCGGUAAUACGUAGGUGGCGAGCGUUGUCCGGAAUUACUGGGCGUAAAGGAUGCGUAGGUGGAUAUUUAAGUGGGAUGUGAAAUCCCCGGGCUCAACCCGGGAACUGCAUUCCAAACUGGAUAUCUAGAGUGCAGGAGAGGAAAGCGGAAUUCCUAGUGUAGCGGUGAAAUGCGUAGAUAUUAGGAGGAACACCAGUGGCGAAGGCGGCUUUCUGGACUGUAACUGACACUGAGGCAUGAAAGCGUGGGUAGCAAACAGGAUUAGAUACCCUGGUAGUCCACGCCGUAAACGAUGGGUACUAGGUGUAGGAGGUAUCGACCCCUUCUGUGCCGUCGUUAACACAAUAAGUACCCCGCCUGGGGAGUACGGUCGCAAGACUAAAACUCAAAGGAAUUGACGGGGGCCCGCACAAGCAGCGGAGCAUGUGGUUUAAUUCGAAGCAACGCGAAGAACCUUACCUAGACUUGACAUCUCCUGAAUUACCCUUAACCGGGGAAGCCCUUCGGGGCAGGAAGACAGGUGGUGCAUGGUUGUCGUCAGCUCGUGUCGUGAGAUGUUGGGUUAAGUCCCGCAACGAGCGCAACCCUUAUUUUUAGUUGCUACCAUUUGGUUGAGCACUCUAAAGAGACUG